This 816-nucleotide ribosomal RNA is filed under the name uncultured bacterium. Its description in RNAcentral is "bacterial SSU rRNA". It matches the Rfam family "Bacterial small subunit ribosomal RNA", at positions 81 to 900 of the family's 1533-position model. The record is from RNAcentral.
UACUUGAGCUAGAGUGUCGUACGGGUGCGUAACACGUAUGCAACCUACCUUUUACAGGAGUAUAGCUCCCCGAAAGGGGAAUUAACCCUCCAUAAUAUCAUUGGAUGGCAUCAUUUGAUGAUUAAAACUGAGGUGGUAAAAGAUGGGCAUGCGUCUGAUUAGUUAGUUGGCAGUGUAACGGACUACCAAGACGAUGAUCAGUAGGGGACCUGAGAGGGUGAUCCCCCACACUGGCACUGAGAUACGGGCCAGACUCCUACGGGAGGCAGCAGUAGGGAAUAUUGGACAAUGGGUGAGAGCCUGAUCCAGCCAUGCCGCGUGCAGGAAGAAGGCGUUAUGCGUUGUAAACUGCUUUUGCCAGGGGAUAAAACGGUUCUGCGGAACUAAUUGAAGGUACCUGGUGAAUAAGCCACGGCUAACUACGUGCCAGCAGCCGCGGUAAUACGUAGGUGGCAAGCGUUGUCCGGAUUUAUUGGGUUUAAAGGGUGCGUAGGCGGCCCUGUAAGUCAGUGCUGAAAUAUCCCGGCUUAACCGGGAGGGUGGCAUUGAUACUGCAGGGCUUGAGUACAGAUGAGGUAGGCGGAAUUGACGGUGUAGCGGUGAAAUGCAUAGAUAUCGUCAAGAACACCGAUAGCGAAGGCAGCUUACCAAGCUGUAACUGACGCUGAGGCACGAAAGUGUGGGGAUCAAACAGGAUUAGAUACCCUGGUAGUCCACACUGUAAACGUUGAUGACUCGAUGUUGGCGAUAUACAGCCAGCGUCCAAGAGCAAUCGUUAAGUCAUCCACCUGGGGAGUACGCCGGCAACGGUGAAAC